This is a non-coding RNA of Vicugna pacos (alpaca), 128 nucleotides long. Lineage: Eukaryota; Metazoa; Chordata; Mammalia; Artiodactyla; Camelidae. The record is from RefSeq and is a predicted model, not a curated record.
UGACAGGGAAUAAGGGGUAGCAAUACUCAUAUUAGACAAAACAGACUUUAAAACAAAGACCAUAAAGAAAGACAUAGAAGGACACUAUAUAUGAUAAGAAUAACAAUACAAGAAGAGGAUAUUAUACU